RNAcentral lists this ribosomal RNA (294 nucleotides) under uncultured bacterium. Its description in RNAcentral is "partial 16S ribosomal RNA". It matches the Rfam family "Bacterial small subunit ribosomal RNA", at positions 28 to 286 of the family's 1533-position model. The record is from RNAcentral.
GACGAACGCUGGCGGCGUGCUUAACACAUGCAAGUCGAACGGUUCAAGAGGCAACCAACUGAUAGUUUACUAUUAAGUAGUCGCCUUAAGGAUAGUGGCGGACGGGUGAGUAACACGUGGAUAACCUGCCCAUAAGAGGGGGAUAACAUCCGGAAACGGGUGCUAAUACCGCAUAGGUUUCUUGAUCGCAUGAUCGAGAAAGGAAGACGGCCUUUGUGCUGUCGCUUAUGGAUGGACCCCGCGGCGUAUUAGUUAGUUGGUGAGGUAACGGCUCACCAAGACGAUGAUACGUAG